RNAcentral lists this ribosomal RNA (549 nucleotides) under uncultured bacterium. RNAcentral's name for it is "bacterial SSU rRNA". It matches the Rfam family "Bacterial small subunit ribosomal RNA", at positions 355 to 896 of the family's 1533-position model. The record is from RNAcentral.
UGGGGAAUAUUGCACAAUGGGCGAAAGCCUGAUGCAGCCAUGCCGCGUGUGUGAAGAAGGCCUUAGGGUUGUAAAGCACUUUCAGCGAGGAGGAAAGGAUUAAAGUUAAUACCUUUAGUCUGUGACGUUACUCGCAGAAGAAGCACCGGCUAACUCCGUGCCAGCAGCCGCGGUAAUACGGAGGGUGCGAGCGUUAAUCGGAAUUACUGGGCGUAAAGCGUGCGUAGGCGGCUACUUAAGUUGGAUGUGAAAGCCCCGGGCUCAACCUGGGAACUGCAUCCAAAACUGAGUAGCUAGAGUGCGAGAGAGGAGUGUGGAAUUUCCUGUGUAGCGGUGAAAUGCGUAGAUAUAGGAAGGAACACCAGUGGCGAAGGCGACACUCUAGCUUGACACUGACGCUGAGGUACGAAAGCGUGGGGAGCAAACAGGAUUAGAUACCCUGGUAGUCCACGCCGUAAACGAUGUCUACUAGUUGUCCGCUGUCUUGUACGAUGGGUAACGCAGCUAACGCGAUAAGUAGACCGCCUGGGGAGUACGGCCGCAAGGUUA